This is an RNA transcript of Juglans microcarpa x Juglans regia, 1835 nucleotides long. It is a transcript of the gene named alpha/beta hydrolase domain-containing protein 17B, with no coding region annotated. The transcript is spliced from 6 exons. The record is from RefSeq and is a predicted model, not a curated record. NCBI's taxonomy places the organism in Eukaryota, Viridiplantae, Streptophyta, Magnoliopsida, Fagales, Juglandaceae.
AGAAGUGGAAUGAAUGUCCAUUUCAACCAAUUCUCAAUACUAUAACAGAGAAAUUGAGAAGCGAAGAUUAGAAAUUCGCAGAAGCAGAGGUAGAGGCAGAGGGGGAGAGAGAUGGGUGGGGUGACGUCGUCCAUGGCGGCCAAGUUCGCUUUCUUCCCGCCGAACCCAUCUUCAUACAAGCUGGUCAAGGAUGAGCUCACGGGUCUCCUGCUUCUCAGCCCGUUUCCCCACCGUGAAAACGUAGAGGUUCUCAAAUUGCCGACCCGUCGGGGCACCGAGAUUGUCGCCAUCUACAUUCGACACCCCAUGGCCACCUCUACUCUUCUCUACUCUCACGGCAAUGCCGCCGAUCUGGGUCAGAUGUACGAGCUCUUCAUUGAGUUGAGCAUCCACCUCCGCGUCAAUCUCAUGGGGUAUGACUAUUCUGGAUAUGGGCAAUCAUCUGGAAAGCCUAGUGAGCAGAAUACAUAUUCAGAUAUUGAAGCUGCAUACAAGUGUCUUGAAGAAAGCUAUGGUACUAAGCAGGAAGAUAUCAUCCUUUAUGGUCAAUCUGUUGGAAGUGGCCCCACUUUGGACCUUGCUGCUCGGCUACCUCAGUUAAGAGCUGUUGUUCUGCAUAGUCCCAUACUCUCUGGCUUAAGAGUCAUGUAUCCUGUAAAGCGUUCAUACUGGUUUGACAUAUACAAGAAUAUUGACAAAAUCCCACUGGUCAACUGUCCUGUUCUAAUCAUUCAUGGGACUUCAGAUGAAGUUGUUGAUUGCUCCCAUGGUAAGCAACUCUGGGAACUGUGCAAAGAGAAGUAUGAACCACUAUGGCUUAAAGGAGGAAAUCACUGUGAUUUGGAGCUCUAUCCCGAGUACAUCAGGCAUCUCAAGAAAUUUAUCUCUACUGUUGAGAAGUCUCCUUCCCAAAGAUACAGUUCCAGGAGAAGCACAGACCAAUUUGAGCAGCCUCGAAAGAGUACUGAUUUUUUUGAAGUUUCAAGGAAGAGCACCGAUCGAAGAGAGAAACCAAGGCAGAGCACUGAUAGGCCUGAAAAACUGAAAAAUCUGUCCACCAAUGUUGAUAAGCUAGAAAAAUUAAGAAUCUCUUUUGACCAUGUGGAAAGGUCUCGGAGAAGCGUGGAUUGCCACGAGAAGUCUCGGAAAAGCAUCGACCACCAGCUGGAAAGAGCACGGAAGAGUGUUGAUCGGCUGGAUAGAAUACGAACUGGGUAAUUUUUCCUAUAACCAAUUGUAAAAUUCAUCCACGGGUUUGGUAUUGUGGGGAAUUUAUUUGGUUUUUUUUUUCAUGUUCAUUUUAAAAGCAUGGUUUUGCAGCUGUGUAGUUUGGCUUAUGGCAGUUCUAUAUUACUAUGGUAUGAAAUGAGAAGGUCAACUGUACCCAAAAGUAUAGAAUACGCCUGAAAGCAGGCCAAGCAGCUCUAGAUUCAGGGGCUCUCGCUCCCUCGAUUAAUGUGUUCGUGGCAAUCCUCGGUAUAUGGAUCUGUACGUGGUCCAGAUCCUUGCUUUCGCAAGGUGGAACUGAAGAAAAGGGACAGAAGAUGGGGUGGGGGAACGAAGGUCUCCAAGAAAUUGCAUAUCCUGAUCGUUUGUGUUAUAGUUGGGGACCUACCAAGGAUUCUGUCUUUAAUGGUCUUCAAGAAAUUGAAUAUUGUGAUCUUUUUAUGCUGUACUUGAGAACAUAUUAACGAACUUUACACAUCACAUUAGAGAGUUUUACCUAUAAGCUUAAUAAUCUCCAGUGACAAGGAUCUUUUGAUAAUUCUGAUACAUUAAAUAAUUUAGCCGACAUGCAGACAAAAAUGGGAACAAGUGUAACAGAUAAAGUGGAA